This 503-nucleotide ribosomal RNA is filed under the name uncultured bacterium. RNAcentral's name for it is "partial 16S ribosomal RNA". It matches the Rfam family "Bacterial small subunit ribosomal RNA", at positions 30 to 523 of the family's 1533-position model. The record is from RNAcentral.
AUUGAACGCUGGCGGCAGGCUUAACACAUGCAAGUCGAGCGGGGUGAUGGUGCUUGCACUAUCACUUAGCGGCGGACGGGUGAGUAAUGCUUAGGAAUCUGCCUAUUAGUGGGGGACAACAUCUCGAAAGGGCUGCUAAUACCGCAUACGUCCUACGGGAGAAAGCAGGGGAUCACUUGUGACCUUGCGCUAAUAGAUGAGCCUAAGUCGGAUUAGCUAGUUGGUGGGGUAAAGGCCUACCAAGGCGACGAUCUGUAGCGGGUCUGAGAGGAUGAUCCGCCACACUGGGACUGGGAGACGGCCCAGACUCCUACGGGAGGAAGCAGUGGGGAAUAUUGGACAAUGGGGGGAACCCUGAUCCAGCCAUGCCCCGUGUGUGAAGAAGGCCUUAUGGUUGUAAAGCACUUUAAGCGAGGAGGAGGCUCUUUUGGUUAAUACCCAAGAUGAGUGGACGUUACUCGCAGAAUAAGCACCGGCUAACUCUGUGCCAGCCGCCGCGGUAA